Molecule: ribosomal RNA, 159 nt
Filed under: Crepis nicaeensis
Lineage: Eukaryota; Viridiplantae; Streptophyta; Magnoliopsida; Asterales; Asteraceae
Description: 5.8S ribosomal RNA
Source: RNAcentral
AACUCUGGCCACCGGAAUUUUCGCUCCACCCUCCAUUAAAAAACUUACCAAAAUGCAAUCCUUGUGUUGAUUUGCAAAUUCCCUGGAACCACCAAUUUUUUAAACCCAGUUGCCGCCGGAGCCCAUCGGGUUAAGGCAAGGCCGGCCUGGCCUUCACCC